UCGAUACCUGAAUAGGCAGACCGCGAACACGUUUAAACACUGGGGAGCGCUGCGUGGGGCAACCCCGCUGUGCGUCCUCCUCCCGCGUGGGCACCGCCCACUGCGGGCUAACGAACCCCCGGCGCGGCAUGCGCCAAGGAAAACUCACAGGAGCGUCAGCCCCCAUCUCCCCGUGCGCGGUGAGCGAGGGGGUGGUACGUGCCUCGAAUGUCUAAACGACUCUCGGCAACGGAUAUCUCGGCUCUCGCAUCGAUGAAGAACGUAGCGAAAUGCGAUMCUURGUGUGAAUUGCAGAAUCCCGUGAACCAUCGAGUCUUUGAACGCAAGUUGCGCCCGAAGCCUCACGGCCGAGGGCACGCCUGCCUGGGCGUCACGCAUCUCGUCGCCCCCCGUCCUCCCCUCUGUGGGGCGAUCGGCUGGGACGGAUAUUGGCCUCMCGUGGGCAUCAACCCCCGCGGCYGGCUCAAAUGAAAUCACGUGGCUUCCACCGUCACGACAAGCGUUGGUUGAGCACUCCACUCUCUUGCUGWCGUGUUGGACGGAGCGCCAAGUACUCAUAGACCCAAUGGUGCGACUUGAUCGUGCC
This 586-nucleotide ribosomal RNA is filed under the name Cycnium volkensii. Its description in RNAcentral is "eukaryotic LSU rRNA". The stretch from base 218 to 373 matches the Rfam family "5.8S ribosomal RNA". Lineage: Eukaryota; Viridiplantae; Streptophyta; Magnoliopsida; Lamiales; Orobanchaceae. The record is from RNAcentral.